This 468-nucleotide ribosomal RNA is filed under the name uncultured bacterium. RNAcentral's name for it is "partial 16S ribosomal RNA". It matches the Rfam family "Bacterial small subunit ribosomal RNA", at positions 28 to 507 of the family's 1533-position model. The record is from RNAcentral.
GACGAACGCUGGCGGCGUGCUUAACACAUGCAAGUCGAACGGAAAGGCCCUGCUUUUGUGGGGUGCUCGAGUGGCGAACGGGUGAGUAACACGUGAGUAACCUGCCCUUGACUUUGGGAUAACUUCAGGAAACUGGGGCUAAUCCCGGAUAGGAGCUCCUGCGGCAUGGUGGGGGUUGGAAAGUUUCGGCGGUUGGGGCUGGACUCGCGGCUUAUCAGCUUGUUGGUGGGGUAGUGGCUUACAAAGGCUUUGACGGGUAGCCGGCCUGAGGGGGUGACCGGCCACAUGGGGACUGCGGUACGGCCCAGACUCGUACGGUAGGCAGCAGUGGGGAAUCUUGCACAACGGGCGGACGCGUGAGGCAGCGGCGCUGCGUGCGUGAUGACGGCCUUCGGGUUGUAAACCGCUUUCGCCUGUGACGAGGCGUGAGUGACGGUAAUGGGUAAAGAAGCACCGGCUAACUACGUG